CAAGGGUUUGGCUGUUCGCCAAUUAAAGCGGUACGCGAGCUGGGUUCAGAACGUAAAUUACAUUGCGUUAUAUCAUAGAAAUAUGAUAUUAGAGCACUGACUCAUAACGGUGAAACCCUACUAAAAAAGAUCGAAUUUUUAGAGGGCAAUACCGUGGGAAGGUACAAGUUUGUGUCAAUAAUUUCGUCUACAGUAAAAUCUUAUAUAGCCGGAUUUUUAGACGGCGAUGGCUGCAUUAUGUUUCAGUUAAUCAGCCGGAAAGAUUAUCAUUAUGGUUUCCAGAUAAGAGCCAGUAUCGUCUUUUAUCAAAAGACCAAAAAUAGAUAUCAUCUGGAAUGGUUAAAAAACAUUUUCAGCUCAGGUUAUAUUCGUAAUCGCAACGAUGAUAUGACAGAAUAUACCAUUGUUGGAAUUAAGCCGGUAAUAAAGAUUUUGAAAUUAUUGAGGCCUUAUAUACUGCUUAAGAAGGAACACGUUAAGUUGGCUUUUCAAAUUGAUAAACUGCUUAAUGGCAGUUUCCGCUUAACUAGGUUUAUCCAAGCGGCUGAAUUAGUGGAUAAAUUUGCAGUGAUUAAUUAUUCAAAGAAAAGAACCAAUACUUCAGUUAAGCUGAAAGAGUAUUUAAGGCAACAUAAGCUGUACCCCCGUAACGACUGAUCCCUGUCAAUCUAGGCAGGGUGAGAUAGAUUAUUUGCAAGACAAGAGAUUUUUAAAGAAAUCUAUCAAACGUCAGCCCCUAACUUAUAAAAUGUGUAAGAAGGGUGAAGGUAUAGUCUAUGCCGUUAGUAAUAACGGAAUAACAUGCGUAAGACAGUUCGGUCUCCUAUCUGCCACGGGCAUUAGAAUCUUGAGCAGGCCCUUCCCUAGUACGAGAGGACCGGGAAGGACGAACCACUCGUGGACCGGUUGCCACACCAGUGGCAUUGCCGGGUAGCGAUGUUCGGUUUGGAUAAACGCUGAAAGCAUCUAAGCGUGAAGCCGUCUGCAAGAUGAGGAUUCGUUAUUUAGGCCCCUUGGAGAUUACAAGGUUAAUAGGCCGCAGGUGUAAGCCCCGUAAGGGGUUCAGCCGAGCGGUACUAAUCGGCCAAUGUAACCACCAAU
Molecule: non-coding RNA, 1101 nt
Organism: Candidatus Komeilibacteria bacterium
Lineage: Bacteria; Candidatus Komeiliibacteriota
Source: Rfam